GCGCCCAUAGCUCAGGCGGAUAGAGCGUCAGUUUGCGGAACUGAAGGCCAGAGGUUCGAGUCCUCUUGGGCGCACCA
This 77-nucleotide transfer RNA is filed under the name Candidatus Pacebacteria bacterium CG10_big_fil_rev_8_21_14_0_10_56_10. RNAcentral's name for it is "tRNA-Arg". It matches the Rfam family "tRNA". From Rfam's summary of the family: Transfer RNA (tRNA) molecules are approximately 80 nucleotides in length. Their secondary structure includes four short double-helical elements and three loops (D, anti-codon, and T loops). Further hydrogen bonds mediate the characteristic L-shaped molecular structure. tRNAs have two regions of fundamental functional importance: the anti-codon, which is responsible for specific mRNA codon recognition, and the 3' end, to which the tRNAs corresponding amino acid is attached (by aminoacyl-tRNA synthetases). tRNAs cope with the degeneracy of the genetic code in two manners: having more than one tRNA (with a specific anti-codon) for a particular amino acid; and 'wobble' base-pairing, i.e. permitting non-standard base-pairing at the 3rd anti-codon position. The record is from RNAcentral. Lineage: Bacteria; Bacillati; Minisyncoccota.